Molecule: ribosomal RNA, 468 nt
Filed under: uncultured bacterium
Lineage: Bacteria
Description: partial 16S ribosomal RNA
Rfam family: Bacterial small subunit ribosomal RNA
Source: RNAcentral
GACGAACGCUGGCGGCGUGCUUAACACAUGCAAGUCGAACGGAAAGGCCCUGUUUUUGUGGGAUGCUCGUGUGGCGAACGGGGGAGUAACACGUGAGUAACCUGCCCUUUACUUUGGGAUAACUUCAGGAAACUGGGGCUAAUACCGGAUAUGAGCUCCUGCUGCAUGGUGGGGGUGGGAAAGAUUCGGUGGUUGGGGACGGACUCGAGGUUAAGCCGCUUGUUGGUGGGGUAGUGGCUUACCAAGGCUAUGACGAGUAGCCGGCCUGAGAGGGUGACAGGGCCCAAUCGGCUUGGGAUAGGAGCAGGACGGAUACGGGGGGAAGGGGUGGGAAAUAUUGCGAGAAGGGCGGCAGCAGGAAGGAGGAACGCCGGGUGCGAGAUGACUGCUUUUGGGGUGGAACGCGCGUUCGACUGGGAAGAAGAGUGAGUGACGGUAAUGGGUAAAGAAGCACCGGCUAACUACGUG